UUCUGUUUGAUCCCGGCGGAGGCUACUGCUAUUGGGAUUCGAUUAAGCCAUGCGAGUUGAAUGAAUUUAGAUUCAUGGCGUACGGCUCAGUAACACGUGGAUAACUUACCCUUAGGACUGGGAUAACUCUGGGAAACUGGGGAUAAUACCGGAUAUUAGGCUAUGGCUGGAAUGCUUUGCCUUUGAAAUGUUUCUUGUAUUCGCCUAAGGAUAGAUCUGCGGCUGAUUAGGUCGUUGGUGGGGUAAUGGCCCACCAAGCCUAUGAUCGGUACGGGUUGUGAGAGCAAGAGCCCGGAGAUGGAACCUGAGACAAGGUUCCAGACCCUACGGGGUGCAGCAGGCGCGAAACCUCCGCAAUGUACGAAAGUGCGACGGGGGGAUCCCAAGUGUUAUUCUUAAUAGGAUAACUUUUCAUUAGUGUAAAAAGCUUUUAGAAUAAGAG
RNAcentral lists this ribosomal RNA (442 nucleotides) under uncultured rumen archaeon. Its description in RNAcentral is "bacterial SSU rRNA". It matches the Rfam family "Archaeal small subunit ribosomal RNA", at positions 1 to 441 of the family's 1478-position model. The record is from RNAcentral.